Molecule: ribosomal RNA, 179 nt
Filed under: uncultured bacterium
Lineage: Bacteria
Description: partial 16S ribosomal RNA
Rfam family: Bacterial small subunit ribosomal RNA
Source: RNAcentral
GAAGCUGGAAUUGCUAGUAAUGGCAGGUCAGCAUACUGCCGUGAAUACGUUCCCGGGCCUUGUACACACCGCCCGUCACACCAUGAGAGUUGGAAAUACCCGAAGCCUGUGAGCUAACAGUAAUGAGGCAGCAGUCGAAGGUAGAGCCAAUGAUUGGGGUGAAGUCGUAACAAGGUACC